CUGCAGAGCAGUGAUCCCUUCUAGCCUGGCUCAUGGGACUCUAGAGGGAAUCAGUCUGCAACAGUAAGUGGUAAGUUCUUCUGUCCAGCAUGGUGGACAUGUGGUGGCUUUAGACUUGCCAGAUACCA
Manis javanica (Malayan pangolin) is the source of this 128-nucleotide small nucleolar RNA. RefSeq annotates it as small nucleolar RNA SNORA56. The record is from RefSeq and is a predicted model, not a curated record. Lineage: Eukaryota; Metazoa; Chordata; Mammalia; Pholidota; Manidae.